CAGUAGCCGCGGGAAUACGGAGGGAGCUAGCGUUAUUCGGAAUUACUGGGCGUAAAGCGCACGUAGGCGGCUUUGUAAGUAAGAGGUGAAAGCCUGGUGCUCAACACCAGAACUGCCUUUUAGACUGCAUCGCUUGAAUCAUGGAGAGGUCAGUGGAAUUCCGAGUGUAGAGGUGAAAUUCGUAGAUAUUCGGAAGAACACCAGUGGCGAAGGCGGCUGACUGGACAUGUAUUGACGCUGAGGUGCGAAAGCGUGGGGAGCAAACAGGAUUAGAUACCCCUGUAGUCCCUGUCUCUUAUAC
RNAcentral lists this ribosomal RNA (301 nucleotides) under uncultured bacterium. RNAcentral describes it as "partial 16S ribosomal RNA". It matches the Rfam family "Bacterial small subunit ribosomal RNA", at positions 509 to 807 of the family's 1533-position model. The record is from RNAcentral.